CCUGCCCUGUCCUGCCCAGCUCCCAACGCGGCAGGCAGCUGCGGCGCCUUCUUGCUCCGUCCGGGUCCAGAGCUCCUCUUCGGCCAGCUGCCCCGACAUCAGGCGGCUCCCGGACCCUGCGAUCUGUGCCUGCGCCAGCAGAAGAGCUCCCGAGGCCCGUGGGCAUUCCCUGGGCGUGGUGCCUGUUCUUCCUACUCCUUUCGGGAGAAUAUCCUUGGUCCUGCAGUGUUGCUGACAUUCACAUUUUUCUAACUGGUCUUGAAUAGCCUACUUUUUAUGUAAAGAACGACUAGACUUCAUAUUUUUCACUUCAGAAGACUAUAAGCUACAGUUGCCAGAGAGUUAAAAACACUACUUUUAGGAUACCAUUUACAUUAAACUUGAGAGCACUUCCUUUCUUAUUCCAAAAUGUUGAGAUACUGGGGAGAGAUACCAAUCUCAUCAAGCCAGACCAAUAGAAGUUCCUUUGAUUUGCUGCCACGGGAGUUCCGUCUGGUGGAAGUACAUGAUCCACCCCUGCACCAACCCUCAGCCAACAAGCCCAAGCCCCCCACUAUGCUGGAUAUCCCCUCAGAACCAUGCAGCCUCACCAUUCAUACCAUUCAGCUGAUCCAGCACAACCGACGUCUGCGCAACCUCAUUGCUACAGCUCAGGCCCAGAAUCAGCAACAGGCAGAAGGAAUAAAGACUGAAGAGAGUGAACCUCUUCCCUCUUGUCCUGGGUCACCUCCUCUUCCUGAUGACCUUCUGCCUUUAGACUGUAAGAAUCCCAGUGUACCAUUUCAGAUUCGGCACAGUGACCCUGAAAGUGACUUUUAUCGUGGGAAAGGGGAACCUGUGACUGAACUCAGCUGGCACUCCUGCCGGCAGCUCCUCUACCAGGCAGUGGCCACCAUCCUGGCCCAUGCGGGCUUUGAGUGUGCAAAUGAAAGUGUCCUGGAGACCCUAACUGAUGUAGCACAUGAGUAUUGCCUGAAGUUCACCAAGUUGCUGCGCUUUGCUGUGGACCGGGAGGCCCGGCUGGGGCACACUCCUUUUCCUGAUGUUAUGGAGGAGGUAUUCCAUGAAGUGGGCAUUGGCAGUGUGCUCUCCCUCCAGAAGUUCUGGCAGCACCGCAUCAAGGACUAUCACAGUUACAUGCUCCAGAUUAGUAAGCAGCUUUCUGAAGAGUAUGAAAGGAUUGUCAAUCCUGAGAAAGCCACAGAAGACACUAAACCUGUAAAGAUCAAGGAAGAACCUGUGAGUGACAUCACCUUCCCUGUCAGUGAGGAACUGGAGGCUGACCUUGCUUCUGGAGACCAGUCACUGCCCAUGGGAGUCCUUGGGGCUCAGAGUGAGCGCUUCCCAUCUAACCUGGAGGUCGAGGCUUCACCACAGGCUUCAAGUACAGAGGUAAAUGCUUCCCCUCUUUGGAAUCUGGCCCACGUGAAAAUGGAGCCUCAAGAGAACGAAGAAGGCAAUGUCUCUGGGCACGGUGUGCUGGGCAGCGAUGUCUUCGAGGAGCCCAUGUCAGGCAUGAGUGAAGCUGGGAUACCCCAAAGCCCUGAUGACUCAGACAGCAGCUACGGCUCCCACUCCACUGAUAGCCUCAUGGGGUCCUCCCCUGUUUUCAACCAGCGCUGCAAGAAGAGGAUGAGGAAAAUAUAAAAAGAAGAGAGAUUUUCUGUCCAAACCUACAAACCAAACAGAAAAUCUGAUAAAUUCAAAUUUGUUUCCAUAGUGAUUUAACUCUUAAAACACAGUGAAUUUUCCUGAAUUCAAGUGGAACUGGAUUUAACCAAACAAGUUUGCAUAUUACUUUUCCAUCCAGUUUUUGUAGUUUUCCAUGACCACCAAGCCACCUUUCACAGUUCCUCUUCCACUGCAACAAGCCACAAAGAACCAAGACUGCUGUACAGUGUAAACUGUUCUCUUGGAUGAAGCAGACCCUUCACUAUCCACUGCCAAGUGACUAUGACCAAAGUGUAUAUCAGCACAUUCCAGGCUCUGAAGUCAAGUAGUCUAUCAAGCUACAAACCAAUAGGGAAGUUUUGUCUUUAUUUUAGUUGCCAAUUCCAAAAGACUAGCAGUCCUAUGCCAACCCCCUGCCCCUGGUCUUGAUUCUGAAAGAUAACCUACACCUUAUGGGUGAGGGGCUGCUCUAUGUAGGCUAAAAUAACUUUGGGUAAGAGUCAGUGAUAAAUACUCAAUCUGAUGGAAUCUUCUUCCUAGAAAUACCCACGACUGUUUCAUGAAUCUACCUGUGAAUCUGCUCUCCACCAUCUGAAAUAAUUCUUCCUAUCUAUUCCAAAUCUUCCAAUAACACAAUGUUCUCAUGAAAAAGAAAUAUUGAAUCACAACAGUAAGGAUCCACUUACUUUGUUCAUGACCACAAUGAAAGGAAGCUUGGUUUUGUACAAGAUGCUGAAAAUCAAACAUCAAGACAUUAUUAUUUAAAAACUCUUCAGCUCUUAUUUAUCCAGUGUCAGUUUGUUGGAAUUGAGUAAAGAGAAGGAGAGUAAGUUCAGUCUCUAAGUAUAAGGUAUCCAUUCUUACAAGGUACAUAUCCUCCUCUCCCAAGGUGGAAAACCACCACCACCAUCACUCAAAUAACACACACAUAUAGUCUCUCUCUUCCUUUGAGUAAUAAUGCUUUGCU
RNA transcript from Molossus molossus (Pallas's mastiff bat), 2638 nucleotides. It is a transcript of the gene named SPT7 like, STAGA complex subunit gamma, with no coding region annotated. Lineage: Eukaryota; Metazoa; Chordata; Mammalia; Chiroptera; Molossidae. The transcript has 6 exons. The record is from RefSeq and is a predicted model, not a curated record.